This is a long non-coding RNA of Erinaceus europaeus (western European hedgehog), 2187 nucleotides long. RefSeq lists it as uncharacterized. The record is from RefSeq and is a predicted model, not a curated record. The transcript has 3 exons. Lineage: Eukaryota; Metazoa; Chordata; Mammalia; Eulipotyphla; Erinaceidae.
CCAUCCCUUCCGGCAUUGAUUUUUCUGUUGAAUUUGGUAAGUUCUGUAUCUUUGCGACGAAGAGCUCCUGCCUAAGAAGGUACUGCGAGAAUCAUGGGCACAGAACACAAUCACAGAGUCAGGAUAUUUAUUCUGUACCUCACAGCUGGGGUAGCGGAGCAAACUGGACUCAGUCAUUCAAGUACCAAAGUCAGCAAAUUUCAAAGACUCGGGGUUUGUUUGGAAGGAUAGACGAACACUGAAUUACAACUUCCGUUGUUGUAAUUCACUUCUGUUGCUUUCCAGCCUUAGUCUGUCUCAGCUUGUCAUAGGUGCAGUCAGAUGCAAAAUCCUUAACAUUUACAGCACUUGAAUGGCCUGUGGACAGAGGGGAACUAAGCAGUGCUGGGGAGAUACAGAGGGACAGAGGAAGAGAGACACCUGCAACUCUACUUUGCUGCUAGUGAAGACCCCUCCCCCUGCAGAUGGAGACGAGGGGCUUGAACCUCGGUCUUUGCACAUGGAGGUGUGCGUGUUCACCUGGGCGCACCACACCUGGCCUUCUAGAUCCUGCUUUCUAUUUGUCUUUGUUAAGUCACUUUUUUAGAAAUACUUUCUGACACAUGUAAUGCUGGGUAUUGAACUUGGGACAUACGUAUGCUUGAGAGUCCAGUGUUUUAUUCACUGCACCACCACAUGGACGCCAGGCAUAUUCUCUGAGAUAAGGGGAAUACAGAUGAAAUAGAUGAUCUCAACUAGUCCCCAACAUCAGUUGGUAGCAAUCACUUUUCUUGCCAUUUCAGGGUCUACAGAAGAGAGGAAACUGGCCAGUGACUAUGGAGGCGAUACUCAGCUAGGUAUCCAAACCAUGCACAUCUGCCUCAGUACUGCGGAUACUCAGCCAGGUAUCCGAACCACACACAUCUGCCUCAGUACUGCGGAUACUCAGCCAGGUAUCCAAACCACGCACAUCUGCCUCAGUACUGCGGAUACUCAGCCAGGUAUCUGAACCACACACAUCUGCCUCAGUACUGCGGAUACUCAGCCAGGUAUCCAAACCACGCACAUCUGCCUCAGUACUGCGGAUACUCAGCCAGGUAUCCGAACUACGCGCAUCUGCCUCAGUGCCCAUUGGACUUCCUAUUUCUUCUCCCCAGGGUCCUUGGGAAAAGAGGGGAAGCUGACAAGACCCAGUUAGGAGGAAAGAAAGCCCAGAGGGAUGAGUGAAUGGCAGAACUCCGCAGAGGGAAGGAAGCAGCUUUUGCUAGAGGACAGGUGAGCAGCAGGUUGGCUGUGCCCGAACUUUUAAAACAUAUCUUUAUUGAUUGAUUUAUCUAUUGGAUGGGAACAGCCAGAAUUCAAGAGGGAAGGGGCUGAUAGAGAGGGAGAGAGAGGGGGGCUGGGUGGUGGUGUGCCUGCCUGAUCGCAUGUGUUACAAUGCUCAGGGACCUGGGUUUGAGCUUCCGUCCCCACCUGCAGGCAUCUCUUUCCCUCGCUAGCUUCCCCUCUCAUCUCGAUUUCUGGCUGUCUCCAUCCAAUAAAUAAAGAUGAUAAAAAUAAGAGGGUGAGAGACAGAGGCACCCACAGCCCCACUUCAGCAUUUGCAAAGCUUUCCCCCCUGCAGGUGGGGUCUGGAGGCUUGAACCUGGGUCCUUGAGCUCUGUAACAUGUGCACUCAGCCAGGUACGCCACUGCCCAGUCCCACAUCAAGUAAUUCAUCUGGCUAUUCAUUGGAAUGACUUGAUUUCCUUCCUACCUGCAAGUUUGAGCCACCACUUCUAGGGCUGGAUCCUGGGAAAAGAUAGUUCUGUCUUGUUCGUCACACAUAGACAUAAACAAGACUAACCUCUAUGACGUGAGGUCUAAUUUUAGUAGAACUGUCACUGAAAAUAAAGCACUAUUUAUGAUCUUGCUGUGGUGAGCGAUCCUUUGUUACCUGGAAACAGUGCUUCUUAGAGAGAAUUAUCUCUCUGUGAAAUUCUUGAGUUGUCCUAAAAUGUUCCCUGUUGUGACCACGGACUGUGAGCUCAGACUGACAGGAACUCAGAGGUCACACAGGCUCCUGUGCUAAAUAGAAAUAGAUGUAGUAGUGAGUUUAUGUGUGACUUAGAAAGGAAGAGAAGAUGGGACCACAGAGAAAGAAAAUAAGGGCAAAUCUGUACAAACAUAGACAGAUGGCUGUAGAAAUAAUAGUUACCCCACAUCUGC